Long non-coding RNA from Homo sapiens (human), 400 nucleotides. RefSeq annotates it as long intergenic non-protein coding RNA 545. The record is from RefSeq and is marked validated. The transcript is spliced from 2 exons. Lineage: Eukaryota; Metazoa; Chordata; Mammalia; Primates; Hominidae.
GAGUUUGAAAUUCUUGCUUCAGGCCAUAUGGAGUGGAUAUUCCUUCCAGAAGGAAAUUACAGACCACUCUCUGUUUCUACUCAACUGCUUUUCACUCCAGGAUGCUUCACCUCUUGGGGCCUUCCCCAGCAGAGGCCCAGGAUCACCUGCAAAAGGCUUCCCCAAGGGUGGGGCCAGAAGCAGGGCUGCAGAUAUGUGUCCUGAACCUCCCAUGGACCCUGCUGGCUCCCUUCAAAGGCUUCGGGCAUAGCGACUUGCCUUUCCGUCUUGUUCAGUCGUCACCAGUCAGCCGUCUGCAGACUUCUCUCCCUCACGUUGUGGCAGAGGAGUUGUACAUUCUCUAGAUUUUAAAAAUAUAUAAGUUACUUUUUCUUUAAAAUAAAAAUUGUCUCUGAAAUAA